UACGGAGGGUGCAAGCGUUGUCCGGAUUUAUUGGGUUUAAAGGGUGCGUAGGCGGCUAUUUAAGUCAGCGGUGAAAGACUCCGGCUUAACCGGAGCAGUGCCAUUGAUACUGGAUAGCUUGAGUGUUGGAGGGGUACAUGGAAUUGAUGGUGUAGCGGUGAAAUGCAUAGAUACCAUCAGGAACACCGAUAGCGAAGGCAUUGUACUGGCCAACAACUGACGCUGAGGCACGAAAGUGUGGGGAUCGAACAGG
This 253-nucleotide ribosomal RNA is filed under the name uncultured bacterium. Its description in RNAcentral is "partial 16S ribosomal RNA". It matches the Rfam family "Bacterial small subunit ribosomal RNA", at positions 524 to 776 of the family's 1533-position model. RNAcentral also lists the same sequence under 2 other names. The record is from RNAcentral.